UACGGGGGGGGCAAGCGUUGUUCGGAAUUACUGGGCGUAAAGGGCUCGUAGGCGGCCAACUAAGUCAGACGUGAAAUCCCUCGGCUUAACCGGGGAACUGCGUCUGAUACUGGAUGGCUUGAGGUUGGGAGAGGGAUGCGGAAUUCCAGGUGUAGCGGUGAAAUGCGUAGAUAUCUGGAGGAACACCCGUGGCGAAGGCGGCUCUCUGGGACGGUACUGACGCUGAGACGCGAAAGCGUGGGGAGCGAACAGG
RNAcentral lists this ribosomal RNA (253 nucleotides) under uncultured bacterium. Its description in RNAcentral is "partial 16S ribosomal RNA". It matches the Rfam family "Bacterial small subunit ribosomal RNA", at positions 524 to 776 of the family's 1533-position model. The record is from RNAcentral.